ACCAUCAAAAUACCAUUUUAUCAUUACACAAUAAGCAUGUAUCUUCUUUAAAAUCUCCAACAAUCAACAAACAUAGCAGGAAACAACAUAGUAUUCCCCGUCCUAUUUAAUUCAAAAUCCUAUAUAUGUAACUUUUCUUGUAUAUAUUCAGUUGCAGGAGUUGGUUAAUUUUAGGAGGAAAAAAAAUGGCAGGAGGUGGAGGAGAUCAAGAAACAAAUUUGGAAUAUACACCAACAUGGGUUGUUGUUGUGUAUUUGCUCAAGAAAAAACAGAAGCCACUCUAUGAAGCCUUACAAAAGAUCAGACAAGAGUUGAUGCUGCUAGGAUUCAUAUCUCUGCUAUUGACAGUGUCACAAGAUAGAAUUCUUAAAAUAUGCAUCUCAAAGCACUUGACUAAUCAUUGGCUCCCUUGUAAAAAGGACAAUGAUGCCAAAGAAACUGUUCACUUUCUGACCAAUUUCUUCUCUUUAGUUCUAGGAGGAAGGUGCCUUCUUGUUGGAUCUGCUAAUUCUGGUUAUUGUGGGGCUAAGGAUAAGGCACCAUUGCUAUCUCUUACAGCACUGCAUCAUCUACAUACCUUUAUCUUCGUGCUGGCCAUUUCACAUGUUACUUUCUCAGCUCUUACAAUUUUAUUUGAAGGUUUAAAGAUACGUCAGUGGAAAUCUUGGGAGGAAUAUAAUCCAGAAGAAGUACUUCGCUCGAAAGUUACACAUGUCCAAGACCAUGAUUUUUCCAAGAGCCGGUUUCUAGGUUUUGCGUUCUUUCGUCAAGCAAUUCUUUGGAUCUGUCACAAAAUUGGACUAUACAACUUUGAGGCUUGGCUUCAUUAUGAUUCAUUGCAAGGGGAAUCCAAAGUUCAAUUUUCACAAGUAUAUGAUACGCGUACUUGAGGCUGAUUUUAAGAAAGUUGUUGGGAUUAGCUGGUAUCUGUGGCUUUUUGUGGUCUUGUUCCUAUUGCUUAAUGUUCACGGCUGGAACGCAUACUUUUGGAUAGCAUUCAUUCCCUUUGGUGUAAGUGAUCAGUACUAUUAAAGACUACUAAUUUUUGUCAAUGCACCUUUGAGCUACUUGCAUUAUUCUUGUCCAAACUUAUUGAUUCUCAAGUUAUUUAUGUUAAAUCAAACUGGAUUCAUCUUUUUAAAUUCCUUUCUCACUUUACAGUCUGUUCAA
Capsicum annuum is the source of this 1170-nucleotide RNA transcript. It is a transcript of the gene named MLO-like protein 15, with no coding region annotated. Lineage: Eukaryota; Viridiplantae; Streptophyta; Magnoliopsida; Solanales; Solanaceae. The record is from RefSeq and is a predicted model, not a curated record. The transcript has 10 exons.